This 69-nucleotide transfer RNA is filed under the name Cystophora cristata (hooded seal). Its description in RNAcentral is "transfer RNA-Lys". Lineage: Eukaryota; Metazoa; Chordata; Mammalia; Carnivora; Phocidae. The record is from RNAcentral.
CAUUAAGAAGCUAUGCAGCAUUAACCUUUUAAGUUAAAGAUUGAGAGUACUCGAACCUCUCCUUAAUGA